UGGGGAAUAUUGGGCAAUGGGCGAAAGCCUGACCCAGCGACGCCGCGUGAAGGAUGAAGGCCCUCGGGUUGUAAACUUCUGUUGGAUGGGAAAAAAAGCCGCAAGGUCUUGAUGGUACCAUUCGAGUAAGCACCGGCUAACUACGUGCCAGCAGCCGCGGUAAUACGUAGGGUGCAAGCAUUGUUCGGAAUCACUGGGCGUAAAGAGAGCGUAGGCGGGAUUGUAAGUUAGGAGUUUAAUGCAUGGGCUUAACCCAUGAUCUGCUUUUAAUACUGCAGUUCUUGAGUAUGGGAGAGGGUGAUGGAAUUCCAGGUGUAGCGGUGGAAUGCGUAGAUAUCUGGAAGAACACCAGUAGCGAAGGCGGUCGCCUGGCCCAAUACUGACGCUGAGGCGCGAAAGCGUGGGUAGCAAACAGG
Molecule: ribosomal RNA, 416 nt
Filed under: uncultured prokaryote
Also listed under: 1 other name
Description: bacterial SSU rRNA
Rfam family: Bacterial small subunit ribosomal RNA
Source: RNAcentral